UGGGGAAUUUUGCACAAUGGGCGGAAGCCUGAUGCAGCAAUGCCGCGUGAGUGACUAAGGCCUUAGGGUUGUAAAGCUCUUUCAGAAGCGAAAAGGGGUUAGGCAGUUAAUACCUGCUUAGCUUGAUGUUAACUUCAGAAGAAGCACCGGCUAACUCCGUGCCAGCAGCCGCGGUAAUACGGAGGGUGCGAGCGUUAAUCGGAAUUACUGGGCGUAAAGGGUGCGUAGGCGGUUAAUUAUGUCAGAUGUGAAAUCCAGUGGCUCAACCACUGAACUGCAUUUGAAACUGAUUAACUAGAAUAUGAUAGAGGGAAGUGGAAUUUCUAGUGUAGCGGUGAAAUGCGUAGAUAUUAGAAGGAACACCAGAGGCGAAGGCGGCUUCCUGGAUCAUUAUUGACGCUGAGGCACGAAAGCGUGGGUAGCAAACAGG
RNAcentral lists this ribosomal RNA (430 nucleotides) under uncultured bacterium. RNAcentral's name for it is "bacterial SSU rRNA". It matches the Rfam family "Bacterial small subunit ribosomal RNA", at positions 355 to 776 of the family's 1533-position model. The record is from RNAcentral.